This 107-nucleotide small nucleolar RNA is filed under the name Erythranthe guttata (spotted monkey flower). RNAcentral describes it as "Mimulus guttatus (spotted monkey flower) Plant small nucleolar RNA R71". It matches the Rfam family "Plant small nucleolar RNA R71". Rfam says of the family: R71 is a member of the C/D box family of snoRNAs containing the C (UGAUGA) and D (CUGA) box motifs. Multiple nearly identical copies of this snoRNA have been identified in Arabidopsis, and it is thought to function as a 2'-O-ribose methylation guide for 18S ribosomal RNA. The record is from Rfam by way of RNAcentral. Lineage: Eukaryota; Viridiplantae; Streptophyta; Magnoliopsida; Lamiales; Phrymaceae.
AAACCGUGAUUGGGGCAUCUUCUGGUAAGAUGUUUAAACCGCUCCCAUGUUUCGAAAAGUGCUUCGUCUGUCUCUUGCAGGAAGUUCUCUAUUUGUCUCCGGAUUUU